This 45-nucleotide non-coding RNA is filed under the name Schistosoma haematobium. RNAcentral also lists the same sequence under 1 other name. Lineage: Eukaryota; Metazoa; Platyhelminthes; Trematoda; Strigeidida; Schistosomatidae. The record is from RNAcentral.
UUACAGCUGACAAGUCUCAAAUAGGACGAAACGCAUGUCCUGGAU